Molecule: ribosomal RNA, 465 nt
Filed under: Vreelandella stevensii
Lineage: Bacteria; Pseudomonadati; Pseudomonadota; Gammaproteobacteria; Oceanospirillales; Halomonadaceae
Description: partial 16S ribosomal RNA
Rfam family: Bacterial small subunit ribosomal RNA
Source: RNAcentral
CCUACGGGGGGCAGCAGUGGGGAAUAUUGGACAAUGGGCGAAAGCCUGAUCCAGCCAUGCCGCGUGUGUGAAGAAGGCCUUCGGGUUGUAAAGCACUUUCAGUGGGGAAGAAAGCCUUGGGGCUAAUACCCUCGAGGAAGGACAUCACCCACAGAAGAAGCACCGGCUAACUCCGUGCCAGCAGCCGCGGUAAUACGGAGGGUGCGAGCGUUAAUCGGAAUUACUGGGCGUAAAGCGCGCGUAGGCGGUCUGAUAAGCCGGUUGUGAAAGCCCCGGGCUCAACCUGGGAACGGCAUCCGGAACUGUCAGGCUAGAGUGCAGGAGAGGAAGGUAGAAGUCCCGGUGUAGCGGUGAAAUGCGUAGAGAUCGGGAGGAAUACCAGUGGCGAAGGCGGCCUUCUGGACUGACACUGACGCUGAGGUGCGAAAGCGUGGGUAGCAAACAGGAUUAGAUACCCUGGUAGUC